UACAGAGGGUGCAAGCGUUGUUCGGAAUUCUGGGCGUAAAGGGCGCGUAGGCGGUCUUGUCAGUCCCUUGUGAAAUCCCCCGGCUCAACUGGGGAACUGCACGGGAAACAGCAGGGCUUGAGUUCGGGAGAGGGAAGCGGAAUUCCGGGUGUAGCGGUGAAAUGCGUAGAUAUCCGGAGGAACACCGGUGGCGAAGGCGGCUUCCUGGACCGAUACUGACGCUGAGGCGCGAAAGCUAGGGGAGCAAACGGG
Molecule: ribosomal RNA, 252 nt
Filed under: uncultured bacterium
Lineage: Bacteria
Description: partial 16S ribosomal RNA
Rfam family: Bacterial small subunit ribosomal RNA
Source: RNAcentral